This 253-nucleotide ribosomal RNA is filed under the name uncultured bacterium. Its description in RNAcentral is "partial 16S ribosomal RNA". It matches the Rfam family "Bacterial small subunit ribosomal RNA", at positions 524 to 776 of the family's 1533-position model. The record is from RNAcentral.
UACGGAGGGUGCAAGCAUUGAUCGGAAUUACUGGGCGUAAAGGGCGCGUAGGCGGUUAGAUAAGUUAGAUGUGAAAUUCCGGGGCUCAACCCCGGAGCUGCAUUUGAAACUGUCUGGCUAGAGUUCAGUUAGGGUAAACGGAAUUCCACGUGUAGCGGUGAAAUGCGUAGAUAUGUGGAAGAACACCGGUGGUGAAGACGGUUUACUGGGCUGAUACUGACGCUGAGGCGCGAAAGCAUGGGGAGCAAACAGG